CGGUGGGGUAGAGGUUGCGGCUUGUAUCAGUAGCCUGUGGGAGAUGUGGAGACAUCGCAGAAAACAGGGGAAAGGAUAAGCUGCCGAAAUUGCCGUGUUUCUCCGGACCGGCAGUUGGGUCUGUUUCCGAACAGGGGCAGAACUGUCACGGUUACUUGCCAUUGACCGUGGAGCGCUAUCUUCAGU
This 186-nucleotide non-coding RNA is filed under the name Desulforamulus ruminis. Its description in RNAcentral is "Desulfotomaculum ruminis Lysine sequence". It matches the Rfam family "Lysine riboswitch aptamer". Rfam says of the family: Riboswitches are metabolite binding domains within certain messenger RNAs that serve as precision sensors for their corresponding targets. Allosteric rearrangement of mRNA structure is mediated by ligand binding, and this results in modulation of gene expression. This family includes riboswitches that sense lysine in a number of genes involved in lysine metabolism, including lysC. Lineage: Bacteria; Bacillati; Bacillota; Clostridia; Eubacteriales; Peptococcaceae. RNAcentral also lists the same sequence under 1 other name. The record is from RNAcentral.